This is a non-coding RNA of Cucumis melo (muskmelon), 100 nucleotides long. NCBI's taxonomy places the organism in Eukaryota, Viridiplantae, Streptophyta, Magnoliopsida, Cucurbitales, Cucurbitaceae. The record is from Rfam.
UCAAGUGCUGUGACGAUGCUGUUUUUAUGGACUAGAGUUUCUGAUCUGGGUACUAUUCCCGGUAUCUGAUUGAUAUACCCUUGGCUGUCUGAGCACUCUC